Long non-coding RNA from Carassius carassius (crucian carp), 428 nucleotides. RefSeq lists it as uncharacterized. Lineage: Eukaryota; Metazoa; Chordata; Actinopteri; Cypriniformes; Cyprinidae. The transcript has 2 exons. The record is from RefSeq and is a predicted model, not a curated record.
GUAGGUCUUGUGUGUUAGUUGUGCUCUGCAUGGUGUCAUAUUCACAUUGUUUUUAAUGUCAAAUAGUUUAUCCAUAAUGUUAGACCAUUGCUAUAAAAUAAUAGUUUUGUGCUUAAUAUAGAAAAGGCACUUUUGAUUUUGUUGUUAAAAAAUAAAAAUGCAAAAUGAUGCUUGGCUUAUUUAGGCUUUGAUAAAUCUUUCUCUGGUAGUCCAUCAUCUGUGCUCUUGCUGUUGUGAAACAUGUGUCCAUCUUGGAGUCUGAGAAGAAAUUCCUGUGAGGACCUGUCAUUGACGCAAGUGAGUGGGAUCACUUUGACAGCAGGAUAAAGAAACAAUUAAAGAAGAGUGGCAAGCCAUAGGAGAGUCAUCUACAGGAGUCAUGCUGUUAAGAAAUAACCAAGUCAUGGUGUUAAUAAAUAAUUUUUUUG